GAUGUAUAAAGUCUCAACAAGUUCCUAUCUAUAAAAUGGUAGUGAAAUCAAAAUAAAAUAUUUCAAAAAUGAAUGAAAAAACACUAUGAUCAUCCACAUACACUAGACUCUUAAAAUGUACUUAGGUCAAUACUUAGGUAAUAAUACAUACAAACAAAAUCGUCUCUUCACCAUAUAAAUGUGUUGUCUGUGUAUUCCAGUGUAACUACUGAUAUAAUUAAAUUAGUUGUAGUUCUUAUGUUUACCUUUGCUCAGAUUUUAUACAAAAUCAAUUCUAAAGAACAGAGGCUGAUU
Leopardus geoffroyi (Geoffroy's cat) is the source of this 294-nucleotide long non-coding RNA. RefSeq lists it as uncharacterized. The transcript is spliced from 2 exons. The record is from RefSeq and is a predicted model, not a curated record. NCBI's taxonomy places the organism in Eukaryota, Metazoa, Chordata, Mammalia, Carnivora, Felidae.